This 415-nucleotide ribosomal RNA is filed under the name uncultured bacterium. RNAcentral describes it as "bacterial SSU rRNA". It matches the Rfam family "Bacterial small subunit ribosomal RNA", at positions 28 to 440 of the family's 1533-position model. The record is from RNAcentral.
GACGAACGCUGGCGGCGUGCCUAACACAUGCAAGUCGAACGGAGAUAUUUAUUUCGGUAGAUAUCUUAGUGGCGCACGGGUGAGUAACGCGUGAAUAACCUGACCCGAAGAGGGGGAUAACACCUGGAAACAAGUGCUAAUACCGCAUAAGACCACGGACCGGCAUCGGUCAGAGGUCAAAGGAGGAAUCCGCUUUGGGAGGGGUUCGCGUCCCAUUAGGUAGUUGGUGAGGUAACGGCCCACCAAGCCGACGAUGGGUAGCCGAGCUGAGAGGCUGAUCGGCCACACUGGAACUGAGACACGGUCCAGACUCCUACGGGAGGCAGCAGUGGGGAAUAUUGGGCAAUGGGCGCAAGCCUGACCCAGCAACGCCGCGUGAGGGAAGAAGGUUUUCGGAUUGUAAACCUCUGUCGCA